This 71-nucleotide transfer RNA is filed under the name Bacteroidaceae bacterium. Its description in RNAcentral is "tRNA-Pro". It matches the Rfam family "tRNA". Rfam says of the family: Transfer RNA (tRNA) molecules are approximately 80 nucleotides in length. The record is from RNAcentral. Lineage: Bacteria; Pseudomonadati; Bacteroidota; Bacteroidia; Bacteroidales; Bacteroidaceae.
GGGUGUAGCGCAGUUGGUAGCGCAUCUGGUUUGGGACCAGGGGGUCGCAGGUUCGAAUCCUGUCACCCCGA